Molecule: non-coding RNA, 29 nt
Filed under: Rattus norvegicus (Norway rat)
Lineage: Eukaryota; Metazoa; Chordata; Mammalia; Rodentia; Muridae
Source: RNAcentral
UGGCUACAAAGACUGACUGAUAGGACCAU